This 419-nucleotide ribosomal RNA is filed under the name uncultured Nitrospira sp. RNAcentral's name for it is "bacterial SSU rRNA". It matches the Rfam family "Bacterial small subunit ribosomal RNA", at positions 355 to 774 of the family's 1533-position model. The record is from RNAcentral. RNAcentral also lists the same sequence under 1 other name. Lineage: Bacteria; Pseudomonadati; Nitrospirota; Nitrospiria; Nitrospirales; Nitrospiraceae.
UGAGGAAUAUUGCGCAAUGGGCGCAAGCCUGACGCAGCGACGCCGCGUGGGGGAUGAAGGGCUUCGGCUUGUAAACCCCUUUCGGGGGGGAAGACGGUCCUAUACUCAUAGGACGGACGGUACCCCCAGAAGCAGCCACGGCUAACUUCGUGCCAGCAGCCGCGGUAAUACGAAGGUGGCAAGCGUUGUUCGGAUUUACUGGGCGUAAAGGGAGCGUAGGUGGUGGGGUAAGCCCCGCGGGAAAGCUCCAGGCUUAACCUGGAAAGGUCGCGGGGGACUGCUCCGCUCGAGGACGGGAGAGGAGCGCGGAAUUCCCGGUGUAGCGGUGAAAUGCGUAGAGAUCGGGAGGAAGGCCGGUGGCGAAGGCGGCGCUCUGGAACGGCCCUGACACUGAGGCUCGAAAGCGUGGGGAGCAAACA